RNAcentral lists this long non-coding RNA (413 nucleotides) under Carica papaya (papaya). Its description in RNAcentral is "long non-coding RNA (CPAP_LNC006591)". The record is from RNAcentral. Lineage: Eukaryota; Viridiplantae; Streptophyta; Magnoliopsida; Brassicales; Caricaceae.
UGCCAAUAAAGAAAUCAAACGAAAUGUAACCUAAACAAAAAUUAAUACUCUGGUAACAAGUAGAUCGAACUAUAAAAUAUUGAGAAUACACACAGGAUCAAGGAGAGAGCAUUGAAGUGAGAAAAACUAGGACAAGGAGAGAUUUCCCAAAGUUCUAAACAGUUCCCAGGUUCUCAUUGCUGGUAUUGGAAUAUUCCAGAUAGUUACACGAGGGGUAGGUCAAGUAGAUCAAACUACGUUAUUUUGCAGCAUUCUUUAAUUUUCUUAUAGAUCAGUAACAACUUAAUUUAUCCAUCAUACAGAUAGGUAAAAUAAUGUGUGAAGCUUAAUUUAUCCAUCAUACAGAUAGGUAAAAUAAUGUGUGAAGACGUGAAUCAAAGAUUAGAAAAUAUACAAGAGUUUAGGAAUCAAAC